RNAcentral lists this ribosomal RNA (251 nucleotides) under uncultured prokaryote. RNAcentral describes it as "partial 16S rRNA". It matches the Rfam family "Bacterial small subunit ribosomal RNA", at positions 525 to 775 of the family's 1533-position model. The record is from RNAcentral.
ACGGAGGAUGCAAGCGUUAUCCGGAUUCAUUGGGUUUAAAGGGUGCGCAGGCGGAUUAAUAAGUCAGUGGUGAAAUCCUACGGCUCAACUGUAGAACUGCCAUUGAUACUGUUAGUCUUGAGUAUUGUUGAGGUAGGCGGAAUGUGUCAUGUAGCGGUGAAAUGCUUAUAUCUGACGCAGAACACCAGUGGCGAAGGCAGCUAACCGAGCAAUAACUGACGCUCAUUCACGAAAGCGUGGGGAUCGAACAG